UACGUAGGGCGCAAGCGUUGUCCGGAAUUAUUGGGCGUAAAGAGCUUGUAGGCGGUCUGUCGCGUCUGCCGUGAAAACCCGAGGCUUAACCUCGUGGCUUGCGGUGGAUACGGGCAGACUAGAGGUAGGUAGGGGAGAAUGGAAUUCCCGGUGUAGCGGUGAAAUGCGCAGAUAUCGGGAGGAACACCGGUGGCGAAGGCGGUUCUCUGGGCCUUACCUGACGCUGAGGAGCGAAAGCGUGGGGAGCGAACAGG
This 254-nucleotide ribosomal RNA is filed under the name uncultured bacterium. RNAcentral's name for it is "partial 16S ribosomal RNA". It matches the Rfam family "Bacterial small subunit ribosomal RNA", at positions 524 to 776 of the family's 1533-position model. The record is from RNAcentral.